CCUACGGGUGGCUGCAGUGAGGAAUAUUGCUCAAUGGGCGCAAGCCUGAAGCAGCGACGCCGCGUGGGCGAUGAAGGUCUUCGGAUCGUAAAGCCCUUUUCUCCGGGACGAGCAAGGACGGUACCGGAGGAAUAAGUGUCGGCUAACUACGUGCCAGCAGCCGCGGUAAAACGUAGGACGCAAGCGUUAUCCGGAAUUACUGGGCGUAAAGCGCGUGUAGGCGGCUAUGUAAGUCACUGUUGAAAGCGCCGGGCUAAACCCGGCGAGGUGCGGUG
RNAcentral lists this ribosomal RNA (275 nucleotides) under uncultured bacterium. Its description in RNAcentral is "partial 16S ribosomal RNA". It matches the Rfam family "Bacterial small subunit ribosomal RNA", at positions 338 to 629 of the family's 1533-position model. The record is from RNAcentral.